RNAcentral lists this ribosomal RNA (497 nucleotides) under uncultured bacterium. RNAcentral's name for it is "partial 16S ribosomal RNA". It matches the Rfam family "Bacterial small subunit ribosomal RNA", at positions 28 to 507 of the family's 1533-position model. The record is from RNAcentral.
GAUGAACGCCGGCGGCGUGCCUAAUACAUGCAAGUCGAGCGAACAGACGAGGAGCUUGCUCCUCUGACGUUAGCGGCGGACGGGUGAGUAACACGUGGAUAACCUACCUAUAAGACUGGGAUAACUUCGGGAAACCGGAGCUAAUACCGGAUAAUAUAUUGAACCGCAUGGUUCAAUAGUGAAAGACGGUUUUGCUGUCACUUAUAGAUGGAUCCGCGCCGCAUUAGCUAGUUGGUAAGGUAACGGCUUACCAAGGCAACGAUGCGUAGCCGACCUGAGAGGGUGAUCGGCCUAACUGGAACUGAGACACGGUCCAGACUCCUACGGGAGGCAGCAGUAGGGAAUCUUCCGCAAUGGGCGAAAGCCUGACGGAGCAACGCCGCGUGAGUGAUGAAGGUCUUCGGAUCGUAAAACUCUGUUAUUAGGGAAGAACAAAUGUGUAAGUAACUAUGCACGUCUUGACGGUACCUAAUCAGAAAGCCACGGCUAACUACGUG